Molecule: ribosomal RNA, 209 nt
Filed under: uncultured bacterium
Lineage: Bacteria
Description: partial 16S ribosomal RNA
Rfam family: Bacterial small subunit ribosomal RNA
Source: RNAcentral
CUCGUAGGUGGUUUUGUAAGUUGGAGGUGAAAUCCCCGGGCUCAACCUGGGAACUGCCUCCAAAACUGCAUGACUAGAGUACGGUAGAGGGUAGUGGAAUUUCCUGUGUAGCGGUGAAAUGCGUAGAUAUAGGAAGGAACACCAGUGGCGAAGGCGACUACCUGGACUGAUACUGACACUGAGGUGCGAAAGCGUGGGGAGGCAAAACA